Long non-coding RNA from Monodelphis domestica (gray short-tailed opossum), 2136 nucleotides. Lineage: Eukaryota; Metazoa; Chordata; Mammalia; Didelphimorphia; Didelphidae. The record is from Ensembl.
UCUGCCUCCUGUGAGCCAUCCUCCUUACCUUCUCUGUGGUCCCAUUGGGCUGCUGAGUAGAGGAGUGGGGGUGUGAAAUAAUAUCCUUGAGCAUGGUGGAAAGAGGGAGGGGAUCAGCACUGCCCUAGUCCCUCUGACUUUCUAAAACAACUCUUGGGGUAGAGGAGCUAGCCACUUGCCCACAGAGAGCUUCUGUGUGUCAUCUUUGACACCUGUGCCAUAGAUUUGCCAUAAUUGCUCUAGAGUUUCAAGGUGGCUAAAGUGGAAUGGAGAGGAGUGAGGGAAAUGAGAGAGACAUUAGCAUUCAUGGCACUGAUGUUACUAUUAUUCUUGUGAAACCUAAAUGGGAACAUCUGAGAGAUAUGGAAGAGUUCAGAAGGUAUUAAGGAUAUAGGUAGCCAUUGCUAGUUUUGGGAUGCAGUCAUCACUCAAGACCUUUGGUGCUUCUCAUAUUUAAGACUUCAGGAGGUUUGCAGUAUGACCUGUAGACAAGAUACUCAGAGAGCAGAAGGAAGCAUAAGACAACCCCCUACCCUCUUUCCUAAAUGAACCACUUUGUUAUGACUGGCAUGAAUAUCAGCUCUAGAACUACAGUCUAAUAAGAGAACCUGAUUCUUUCUGCAGAUAACCUCCAAGUGGAAGAGAUGCUGGUGCAGUCUGCAGAACAACUGCCUACAAUUGCUGCUUGCUGAUCUUAAAGCUUAGUUACCCCUGUUUCCUGUCUGUGGUAACAGAGGCUAUUCUGUCUUUCAGAAAAGUCUUCAGAAAGUCUUGUCUAAAUUCGAAUUGAGAAGCUGCCACAGUUAAUGGCUUCCAGGAAACAAGGUACUGGGAUUUCCCAAGAAGCAAUAGUUGAACCUACUCUGGUCUCUGCCUUUAGAGUUGCACAGAAGUCACAGAGCAAUGUGUAUGUGAAAUGUCAACAGAGACUAUGGCUCAUUCUUGGAAGCAACCAUCUGCAUCAUCAUCAAAAAUUAUUCGUUAGAUGCCCAUCUGUUCAUGGAUUUCAACAAUAUCAGCAGACUACCAUGAGAAACACUUUCUUGACCCCAAUGCUGGAUGAAACAGUCCCUAAUUGUGAUAAGGAAACUGAGAAAAAGAGAAAUUAAGUGAUUUGCCCAAGGUCAAAAGAAAAAAAUAAUGGUAUUCCGGGACUUCAGGUCAAGAUGGCAGCUUAGAAACAGAAAAAGUUCAGACCUCUGAAAACCCUUCCUUACUGAUCACAAACUGAAUGCUCCUAGGGGACUGAAAUUCAAACCAAACAACAGGACAGAGCCAGGGAACCCUCCUUCUGGACUCAAAUCAAAAGGUAUACCCCCAAAAGCCAGAAUCCUAGAACACUCGGAUCUAAGGGGAAGGCAGAAGGAAGGUCCCAGAACCCCUCCCCCCCAACCCAGAGUGCUGAGCCCCCAGCAGCAGCGGGAACCUCAAGGCCGGCAAAGGUGCUGUUCUGAAGGGUGCACCUUGAAAGCAACCUGGGCCAGGCUCGGGGCAUCCAACACUGAUGGCAGGGAAGCAGCUUGAGAGAGACGGGAGGAACCUGUAGCCCUGUGGGUGGGUCCUUCCAUUGGAGUCUCACCAGAGGUUUUUGCCUUGGGGCACAUCCAGACCAACCCAGUUGAACCUAAUCCCAUCAGGAGCCCUCAGAGCUCAGGGAGGUCAGGACCCCUUCCCUCCUCCCCCCCAGAGUGCAGAGCUUCUCAAAAGGACAGGAACCUCAGGGCAGGCAAAGGCAUUGGGGUACCUUGAGGACAGUGCUGUGCCAGGCUCAGAGCGUGGAAGUAAGGCAGUGGAGAAGCAGCUGGAGAGAACUGAGAGCAGUAAUACCUGAAACACCGGCAGGCAGGUGAGGGCAGACUCUGGGCUUCCCCGGGAAGACAGCGCAGCUGCGCAGAACAGACAGUUUUCCUGGGGCUAAAGCAUCAGAUCAUCAGAAGCAUACACUAAGAGCCAACACUCCUCACUCAGAUUUCUGACUGGAAAGGGGAGGAAAAACCAUAGAGAUGGCAAACAGUGCAGAGGUGCAAAGCCUCCAAACACCAAGAAAAGCAAGAAGAAGGGGGUGACUUUGGACACAUUUUAUGGAGCAAAAAUGCAAAAUACAGAGGAGAUAGAAGAGGAAACAUAAACAAAUGC